CUACGGGUUGCUGCAGUGAGGAAUAUUGCACAAUGGGGGGAACCCUGAUGCAGCAACGCCGCGUGGAGGAUGACGCAUUUCGGUGUGUAAACUCCUUUUAUAUGUCAAGAAAAUGACGGUAGCAUAUGAAUAAGCACCCGCUAACUCCGUGCCAGCAGCCGCGGUAAUACGGAGGGUGCAAGCGUUACGCGGAAUCACUGGGCGUAAAGGACGCGUAGGCGGGUUGGAAAGUCAGGUGUGAAAUCCUACAGCUUAACUGUAGAACUGCACUUGAAACUUCUAAUCUAGAGUAUGGGAGGGGGAGAUGGAAUUAGUGGUGUAGGGGUAAAAUCCGUAGAUAUCACUAGGAAUACCUAAAGCGAAGGCGAUCUCCUGGAACAUUACUGACGCUAAGGCGUGAAAGCGUGGGGAGCAAACAGGAUUAGAUACCCUCGUAGUC
This 439-nucleotide ribosomal RNA is filed under the name uncultured bacterium. RNAcentral describes it as "partial 16S ribosomal RNA". It matches the Rfam family "Bacterial small subunit ribosomal RNA", at positions 339 to 795 of the family's 1533-position model. The record is from RNAcentral.